This 263-nucleotide unclassified non-coding RNA is filed under the name Hevea brasiliensis (rubber tree). The record is from RNAcentral. Lineage: Eukaryota; Viridiplantae; Streptophyta; Magnoliopsida; Malpighiales; Euphorbiaceae.
CGAAUGUCUUCCUACUUGUGACUACCGGGGAAAAUUCUCCCCAGGUAAAUGCAGGACAGGAUGUGGAGAGCCAACUCAGAGAUGGUACCAUAUCCCACGAUCUUGGUUUCAGCCAUCUGGUAAUACGCUAGUAAUCUUUGAAGAGAAAGGUGGUGACCCUACUAAGAUUACCUUUUCAAGACGCCGUGUAACAGGCAUUUGUGGUUUCAUUUCGGAAGAUUACCCUUCAGUCGAUUUGGAUUCUUGGGGAAAGAGCAUCAAUG